AAGUACGAAAACAUGAAUUUUUUUUCUUUUUCUUUAUCUUCACCUGGAAGUCCGCGCAAAGUCCAUAGCCUAAAACCCUUUUCCUUAAACUCUCACAUAUAACACAGAAAAACAAGAAACCCCCAUCAAAGAAGCAAACAGUGGAUCGGAGGAGAUGCAGAAGAAGAGAGACUAAGCCUUGGAAUGAAGGACAGGAGAAAUCCAGAGGCAUAGAAAAUUGAAGAACGCGU
This 230-nucleotide unclassified non-coding RNA is filed under the name Hevea brasiliensis (rubber tree). Lineage: Eukaryota; Viridiplantae; Streptophyta; Magnoliopsida; Malpighiales; Euphorbiaceae. The record is from RNAcentral.